GUUUUAGUUCUUUAAUUCUCCUAUUUUAAGUUUUAGGAUAUUUCAGAAAUAUUUUGGUUUGAUAAUAAUGGAGACUCUGUAUUAUUUGUCUUAUUUGUGAAUGCUGGAUUUGGAAAUUGGAAUAGCAUAUGUUCAUGUUAGGAUGUCAUGGCCAACAUGAAGAUAGGACCCUUGAGUUGGCUUUGAAAUGAGAGUAAUUGUUCAUUAGAAUAUUAUAUCCCAAUUGUUUUUUUUUUUCUUCUUCCAUCUAUUAGUUGUAUACUGGAAGCAAAUUUUUUCUUGAUUGCCCCAACAACUGGAA
RNAcentral lists this unclassified non-coding RNA (301 nucleotides) under Hevea brasiliensis (rubber tree). Lineage: Eukaryota; Viridiplantae; Streptophyta; Magnoliopsida; Malpighiales; Euphorbiaceae. The record is from RNAcentral.